RNAcentral lists this long non-coding RNA (1314 nucleotides) under Triticum aestivum (bread wheat). RNAcentral's name for it is "long non-coding RNA (TAES_LNC015144)". The record is from RNAcentral. Lineage: Eukaryota; Viridiplantae; Streptophyta; Magnoliopsida; Poales; Poaceae.
AUAGACUUUGAUAAGAGGUACAUGCUAUCUGUUUAUCUCCGCACUAAUUAUGUGCUGUCCUUUGCCUGAUUUAAUCAUAUGCUUAUGUUCUUGAUCUUAUUGCUAAAGGCUCCAGGGCAAGUUCUCUCCUGUAGAAAAGAUUGUCCUCCAGGGACAGACAACAGCUAUGCAUUUGCCUUGACCGUAUUGAUAUACUGCUGCAUGUAUUUUUUCUAUGAACUUACCAUCCCUGAAGGAAAGAAGAGUAAUUCUUCCCCGGCCUCAGUCAACAAAAGGUAUGAGCUGUUCCAACAAAAAUGAUCCAAGAUGGCGUAAACAAACGAUUCUAGAUAUGUGAUGUGAAUUUGUUGGGUCUGUGACCUGUAGUGUCGAUAUAAAGAGAGUGCCAGCAAGUGGUCUACCUAAGUCUGUGUUGUGUAAACCCUUGUUUUCCGAUGGCCGUGCUUAGGUAUUUCCUUUCGUUUGCUUGGUGAAAAUACAUCCAAACCUAUUCACAUGGUUGUUUGAUGGUCAGUUGACAAGGAAUAUUUGUUUAUGCCUGCUAGGGGCUCGAAAAACUGGAUGAUGCUCUGCUGGUCUCGGUGGUGAGCUUGCUGCUACGUUGAGGUAUCUGGGUGUGGGUUGAUACGAGUGUUUAACAAUAUAUGCAUAAUUUUUCUACUUCUUGUACAUAAUUGUUAUUUGUUCUUGAAGCAAAUCAACUGAAAGCCUGACGGCGGAUGAAGACGAGACGUCCGUGACUAAAAGGGCUAAGUUGUAGUCCAAACGGCCCUAGGCGGAUCAUUAUUUUGGUGUGUCAGCUAGGUACCUUUUAUAUCGUCGGUCGCCUCCUAUGUUGUACACGAUUUGGCUCUUACUUGAACUUGUGUUAUUGCAGGACCACAAUGUGUUGGUUAGAUGUGCUCUCGCAUUGAUGGUCUAGCGAAUGGACGUCUCGACGUGUGUUAGAUGGUGAAGCUUCUUCCUAGGUCCAUCGUCCCUUUUGUCGUGCCGUAUUGCUUGCAAUGCGAUGUUACGUUACACAGACCCCAGGAAACUUUAAUGUGGUGCUUGUGAAAGACCAGCUGCUGUUGGUACUAUGAUCAGCAUUGGCCUUCUAUUUUGUGUGGUGUUUGUUUAGCUCUUGGUUGCUAACGAUGUAUGGUCAGUGCCAUGAGAUGGUGCUUCUGAUGGAUUAACUACUCUGUGGUUGAUGUAAGUUAUGAACCAGUUAAGCUGUGGCUCUAAUGUCGGUUUUCUAGUCCGUUUACUGUGUCGUAUCAUAUGUUUUAUUUCCUGUAUAUGUUGUGUGCUCUGUUCUGUCUUCGGACUUAU